CAGCAGCCGCGGUAAAACGGAGGGUGCGAGCGUUGUCCGGAUUUAUUGGGUUUAAAGGGUGCGUAGGCGGCCUAAUAAGUCAGUGGUGAAAGCCUCCAGCUUAACUGGAGAACUGCCAUUGAUACUGUUAGGCUUGAGUAUACUUGAGGUAGGCGGAAUUGACAGUGUAGCGGUGAAAUGCAUAGAUAUUGUCAAGGACACCAAUUGCGAAGGCAGCUUACUAAAUUAUAACUGACGCUGAGGCACGAAAGUGUGGGUAUCAAACAGGAUUAGAUACCCCCGUAGUCCCUGUCUCUUAUAC
RNAcentral lists this ribosomal RNA (301 nucleotides) under uncultured bacterium. Its description in RNAcentral is "partial 16S ribosomal RNA". It matches the Rfam family "Bacterial small subunit ribosomal RNA", at positions 509 to 807 of the family's 1533-position model. The record is from RNAcentral.